This 115-nucleotide ribosomal RNA is filed under the name Nanobdellota archaeon. The record is from RNAcentral. Lineage: Archaea; Nanobdellati; Nanobdellota.
GAAGACGGCCAUAGUAACUGGGUAAUACCUGUUCCCAUUCCGAACACAGAAGUCAAGCUGGUUACGUCGUGAGCGUUAGUCUCCCACAAGAGGCGAAAUUCCGAUGCUGUCUUCU